Molecule: ribosomal RNA, 829 nt
Filed under: Streptomyces rochei
Lineage: Bacteria; Bacillati; Actinomycetota; Actinomycetes; Kitasatosporales; Streptomycetaceae
Description: bacterial SSU rRNA
Rfam family: Bacterial small subunit ribosomal RNA
Source: RNAcentral
ACUCUUUCAGCAGGGAAGAAGCGAAAGUGACGGUACUGCAGAAGAAGCGCCGGCUAACUAGUGCCAGCAGCCGCGGUAAUACGUAGGGCGCAAGCGUUGUCCGGAAUUAUUGGGCGUAAAGCUCGUAGGCGGCUUGUCACGUCGGUUGUGAAAGCCCGGGGCUUAACCCCGGGUCUGCAGUCGAUACGGGCAGGCUAGAGUUCGGUAGGGGAGAUCGGAAUUCCUGGUGUAGCGGUGAAAUGCGCAGAUAUCAGGAGGAACACCGGUGGCGAAGGCGGAUCUCUGGGCCGAUACUGACGCUGAGGAGCGAAAGCGUGGGGAGCGAACAGGAUUAGAUACCCUGGUAGUCCACGCCGUAAACGGUGGGCACUAGGUGUGGGCAACAUUCCACGUUGUCCGUGCCGCAGCUAACGCAUUAAGUGCCCCGCCUGGGGAGUACGGCCGCAAGGCUAAAACUCAAGGAAUUGACGGGGGCCCGCACAAGCGGCGGAGCAUGUGGCUUAAUUCGACGCACGCGAAGAACCUUACCAAGGCUUGACAUACACCGGAAACCCUGGAGACAGGGUCCCCCUUGUGGUCGGUGUACAGGUGGUGCAUGGCUGUCGUCAGCUCGUGUCGUGAGAUGUUGGGUUAAGUCCCGCAACGAGCGCAACCCUUGUCCCGUGUUGCCGGCAGGCCCUUGUGGUGCUGGGGACUCACGGGAGACCGCCGGGGUCAACUCGGAGGAGGGUGGGGACGACCUCAAGUCAUCAGGCCCCUUAUGUCUUGGGCUGCACACGUGCUACAAUGGCCGGUACAAUGAGCUGCGAUACCGCGAGGUGGAGCGAAU